UGAUUGAUCUGUAUAAUCUCGUGCAUCAUGCCUCGUCUGUAUUGCCUUGUUCAGCUUUUUCUUUUUAUGAGCAACAGACUGUUGCGUAUGCCAGCAUGAUGAGCUGAUGAGGGAGGGGUGGAGACUGUGCCCUUUAAAAGCAUGCUGUAGAGACUGUGUAAGAGGGAGCGCUUUACGGAAGACGGGCAGUCACGUGGGAAUAGCGGAAGUGUGACUGGCGAGUUGGCGUCUUCCGGAGACCGCGUGCGCGGGUGGAUGAACGGCGAACACGCUGACAGACUCGGAGGUUAUACCAGUAUGCAACGAGUGUGAGCAGAUCCAUGUGCAGUGUAUACGCUGAAGGACGAGGUUAGCUACACUAUGUGAUGAGUGCGGGUGGACUGGCGUGUAGUGACGAUGCCGAGAGAGAGCGAGAGGAAUCCACGCUGUGAGUGGAGCGUAAGAGUGUUUAUCCCGGCGGAACAGAACACUCCGGUUACAACGCUGGACGUCGUGUAGACUGGGUAGUGGGAAUUGCUACCCGGUCCUAUUUGUGCUGUUUAAAUCCGGUGGAGACUUAGGCCACUGUAGGACUGAAUCGAAGUGGUGCACUGCUCUGAUCGAGCCAGGACAGACUGGACUGCUCCUUUGGACUAACAUCAUCUUGCAUCCUUCUUAAGGACUUCUUAGUGUGCUAUUUUUUUUAAUUGAAUAUUACAUUGAUUUUCUAAAUCUUAAAUAUUUUUAUCUGUGUAUUUAAUAAAAGGUCUUUGUAACUUGA
Long non-coding RNA from Silurus meridionalis, 760 nucleotides. RefSeq lists it as uncharacterized. The record is from RefSeq and is a predicted model, not a curated record. Lineage: Eukaryota; Metazoa; Chordata; Actinopteri; Siluriformes; Siluridae. The transcript is spliced from 2 exons.